UACGUAGGGUGCAGGCGUUAAUCGGAAUUACUGGGCGUAAAGCGUGCGCAGGCGGUCUUUUAAGUCAGAUGUGAAAUCCCCGGGCUUAACCUGGGAACUGCGUUUGAAACUGGAAGGCUUGAGUGUGGCAGAGGGGGGUGGAAUUCCACGUGUAGCAGUGAAAUGCAUAGAGAUGCGGAGGAAUACCAGUGGCGAAGGCGACUUCCUGGACCUUAACUGACGCUGAAGCGCGAAAGCAUGGGGAGCGAACGGG
This 253-nucleotide ribosomal RNA is filed under the name uncultured bacterium. RNAcentral describes it as "partial 16S ribosomal RNA". It matches the Rfam family "Bacterial small subunit ribosomal RNA", at positions 524 to 776 of the family's 1533-position model. The record is from RNAcentral.